GAUGAACGCUGGCGGCGUGCCUAAUACAUGCAAGUCGAACGAAACUUCUUUAUCACCGAGUGCUUGCACUCACCGAUAAAGAGUUGAGUGGCGAACGGGUGAGUAACACGUGGGCAACCUGCCCAAAAGAGGGGGAUAACACUUGGAAACAGGUGCUAAUACCGCAUAACCAUAGUUACCGCAUGGUAACUAUGUAAAAGGUGGCUAUACUACCGCUUUUGGAUGGGCCCGCGGCGCAUUAGCUAGUUGGUAGGGUAAAGGCUUACCAAGGCAAUGAUGCGUAGCCGAAUUGAGAGGUUGAUCGGCCACAUUGGGACUGAGACACGGCCCAAACUCCUACGGGAGGCAGCAGUAGGGAAUCUUCCACAAUGGGCGAAAGCCUGAUGGAGCAACGCCGCGUGGGUGAGGAAGGUCUUCGGAUCGUAAAACCCUGUUGUUAGAGAAGAAAGUGCGUGAGAGUAACUGUUCACGUUUCGACGGUAUCUAACCAGAAAGCCACGGCUAACUACGUG
RNAcentral lists this ribosomal RNA (512 nucleotides) under uncultured bacterium. Its description in RNAcentral is "partial 16S ribosomal RNA". It matches the Rfam family "Bacterial small subunit ribosomal RNA", at positions 28 to 507 of the family's 1533-position model. The record is from RNAcentral.